CCUACGGGAGGCAGCAGUGGGGAAUAUUGCACAAUGGGCGCAAGCCUGAUGCAGCGACGCCGCGUGAGGGAUGACGGCCUUCGGGUUGUAAACCUCUUUCAGCAGGGACGAAGCGCAAGUGACGGUACCUGCAGAAGAAGCACCGGCCAACUACGUGCCAGCAGCCGCGGUAAUACGUAGGGUGCAAGCGUUGUCCGGAAUUACUGGGCGUAAAGAGCUCGUAGGCGGUUUGUCGCGUCGUCUGUGAAAACCAGCAGCUCAACUGUUGGCUUGCAGGCGAUACGGGCAGACUUGAGUAUUUCAGGGGAGACUGGAAUUCCUGGUGUAGCGGUGAAAUGCGCAGAUAUCAGGAGGAACACCGGUGGCGAAGGCGGGUCUCUGGGAAAUAACUGACGCUGAGGAGCGAAAGCGUGGGUAGCGAACAGGAUUAGAUACCCUGGUAGUCCACGCCGUAAACGGUGGGCGCUAGGUGUGGGUUUCCUUCCACGGGAUCCGUGCCGUAGCUAACGCAUUAAGCGCCCCGCCUGGGGAUACGGCCGCAAGGCUAAAACGUUAAGGAAUUGACGG
RNAcentral lists this ribosomal RNA (567 nucleotides) under uncultured bacterium. RNAcentral describes it as "bacterial SSU rRNA". It matches the Rfam family "Bacterial small subunit ribosomal RNA", at positions 338 to 916 of the family's 1533-position model. The record is from RNAcentral.